GCGAUCAUACCAGUACCAAUGCACCGGAUCCCAUCAAAACUUUGCAGUUAAGCGUGCUUGGGCGAGAGUAGUACUAGGAUAGGUCACCUCCCAGGAAGUCCUCGUGUUACACCCC
This is a non-coding RNA of Ilex paraguariensis (yerba mate), 115 nucleotides long. The record is from the annotation of a GenBank genome assembly. Lineage: Eukaryota; Viridiplantae; Streptophyta; Magnoliopsida; Aquifoliales; Aquifoliaceae.